UACGUAGGGUGCGAGCGUUGUCCGGAAUUAUUGGGCGUAAAGGGCUCGUAGGCGGUUUGUCGCGUCGGGAGUGAAAACACCGGGCUUAACUCGGUGCUUGCUUUCGAUACGGGCAGACUAGAGGCAUGCAGGGGAGAACGGAAUUCCUGGUGUAGCGGUGAAAUGCGCAGAUAUCAGGAGGAACACCGGUGGCGAAGGCGGCAUCCUGGACCAAUUCUGACACUGAGGAGCGAAAGCCAGGGGAGCAAACGGG
RNAcentral lists this ribosomal RNA (253 nucleotides) under uncultured bacterium. RNAcentral's name for it is "partial 16S ribosomal RNA". It matches the Rfam family "Bacterial small subunit ribosomal RNA", at positions 524 to 776 of the family's 1533-position model. The record is from RNAcentral.